AGAGUUUGAUCCUGGCUCAGAUUGAACGCUGGCGGCAUGCUGUACACAUGCAAGUCGAACGGCAGCACGGGCUUCGGCCUGGUGGCGAGUGGCGAACGGGUGAGUAAUGCGUCGGAACGCGCCGAGUAGUGGGGGAUAACGCAGCGAAAGCUGUGCUAAUACCGCAUACGUACUGAGGUAGAAAGUGGGGGACCUUCGGGCCUCACGCUAUUCGAGCGGCCGACGUCUGAUUAGCUAGUUGGUGGGGUAAAGGCUCACCAAGGCGACGAUCAGUAGCGGGUCUGAGAGGAUGAUCCGCCACACUGGGACUGAGACACGGCCCAGACUCCUACGGGAGGCAGCAGUGGGGAAUUUUGGACAAUGGGCGCAAGCCUGAUCCAGCCAUGCCGCGUGUCUGAAGAAGGCCUUCGGGUUGUAAAGGACUUUUGUCCGGGAGCAAAGCCUACUUGUUA
This 452-nucleotide ribosomal RNA is filed under the name uncultured bacterium. RNAcentral's name for it is "bacterial SSU rRNA". It matches the Rfam family "Bacterial small subunit ribosomal RNA", at positions 8 to 462 of the family's 1533-position model. The record is from RNAcentral.